Molecule: ribosomal RNA, 253 nt
Filed under: uncultured bacterium
Lineage: Bacteria
Description: partial 16S ribosomal RNA
Rfam family: Bacterial small subunit ribosomal RNA
Source: RNAcentral
UACGUAGGGUGCGAGCGUUAAUCGGAAUUACUGGGCGUAAAGCGUGCGCAGGCGGUUCGUUAAGUCUGAUGUGAAAGCCCCGGGCUCAACCUGGGAAUGGCAUUGGAAACUGGCGGGCUGGAGUGUGGCAGAGGGGGGUGGAAUUCCGCGUGUAGCAGUGAAAUGCGUAGAGAUGCGGAGGAACACCGAUGGCGAAGGCAGCCCCCUGGGCUGACACUGACGCUCAGGCACGAAAGAGUGGGGAGCAAACAGG